UCAGGACGAACGCUGGCGGCGUGCCUAACACAUGCAAGUCGAACGAAGUAUAUUUUUCGGAAUGUGCUUAGUGGCGGAACGGGUGGGUAACGCGUGAACAAUCUGCCCCAUACAGAGGAAUAGCCUCGGGAAACCGGGAUUAAAACCACAUAACACUUAAGUAUCGCAUGGUACAUGAGUCAAAUUGAUUAAGAGGUAUGGGAUGAGUUCGCGUCUGAUUAGCUAGUUGGUGAGGUAAAGGCUCACCAAGGCGACGAUCAGUAGCCGGCCUGAGAGGGUGAACGGCCACACUGGAACUGAGACACGGUCCAGACUCCUACGGGAGGCAGCAGUGGGGAAUAUUGCACAAUGGAGGAAACUCUGAUGCCAGCGACGCCGCGUGAGUGAAGAAGGUCUUCGGAUCGUAAAACUCUGUCCUUGGUGAAGAUAAUGACGGUAGCCAAGGAGGAAGCCCCGGCUAACUACGUGCCAGCCGCAGC
Molecule: ribosomal RNA, 479 nt
Filed under: uncultured bacterium
Lineage: Bacteria
Description: bacterial SSU rRNA
Rfam family: Bacterial small subunit ribosomal RNA
Source: RNAcentral